ACUCCUACGGGAGGCAGCAGUGAGGAAUAUUGGUCAAUGGACGCAAGUCUGAACCAGCCAUGUCGCGUGCAGGAAGACUGCCCCUAUGGGUUGUAAACUGCUUUUAUACGGGAAGAAAUAUAGCUACGUGUAGUUAUUUGCCGGUACCGUAUGAAUAAGCAUCGGCUAACUCCGUGCCAGCAGCCGCGGUAAUACGGAGGAUGCGAGCGUUAUCCGGAUUCAUUGGGUUUAAAGGGUGCGUAGGCGGAAGUAUAAGUCAGGGGUGAAAGUUUGUGGCUCAACCAUAAAAAUUGCCUUUGAUACUGUAUUUCUUGAGUACAUUUGAGGUAGGCGGAAUGUGUUGUGUAGCGGUGAAAUGCUUAGAUAUAACACAGAACACCGAUUGCGAAGGCAGCUUACUAAACUGUAACUGACGCUGAUGCACGAAAGCGUGGGGAUCGAACAGGAUUAGAUACCCUGGUAGCACAGAG
RNAcentral lists this ribosomal RNA (470 nucleotides) under uncultured bacterium. RNAcentral's name for it is "bacterial SSU rRNA". It matches the Rfam family "Bacterial small subunit ribosomal RNA", at positions 335 to 799 of the family's 1533-position model. The record is from RNAcentral.